AGCCCGGUGGUGUAGUGGCCAAGCAUAAAGGGCUUUGGACCCUUAGACCCCUUUAAAAGGCUAAAAAGGAGUUCGAAUCUCCUCCGGGCUACCA
RNAcentral lists this transfer RNA (94 nucleotides) under Candidatus Odinarchaeum yellowstonii. RNAcentral describes it as "tRNA-Gln". It matches the Rfam family "tRNA". Rfam says of the family: Transfer RNA (tRNA) molecules are approximately 80 nucleotides in length. Their secondary structure includes four short double-helical elements and three loops (D, anti-codon, and T loops). Lineage: Archaea; Promethearchaeati; Candidatus Odinarchaeota; Candidatus Odinarchaeia; Candidatus Odinarchaeales; Candidatus Odinarchaeaceae. The record is from RNAcentral.